ACUAAGUUUCAACAACGGAUCUCUUGGCUCUCGCAUCGAUGAAGAACGUUGCGAAAUGCGAUAAGUAAUGUGAAUUGCAGAAUUCAGUGAAUCAUCGAAUCUUUGAACGCACCUUGCGCUCCUUGGUAUUCCUUGGAGCAUGCCUGUUUGAGUAUCAUGAAAU
RNAcentral lists this ribosomal RNA (163 nucleotides) under Thanatephorus cucumeris. Its description in RNAcentral is "5.8S ribosomal RNA". It matches the Rfam family "5.8S ribosomal RNA". From Rfam's summary of the family: 5.8S ribosomal RNA (5.8S rRNA) is a component of the large subunit of the eukaryotic ribosome. It is transcribed by RNA polymerase I as part of the 45S precursor that also contains 18S and 28S rRNA. The record is from RNAcentral. Lineage: Eukaryota; Fungi; Basidiomycota; Agaricomycetes; Cantharellales; Ceratobasidiaceae.